Molecule: ribosomal RNA, 407 nt
Filed under: uncultured bacterium
Lineage: Bacteria
Description: partial 16S ribosomal RNA
Rfam family: Bacterial small subunit ribosomal RNA
Source: RNAcentral
GACGAACGCUGGCGGCGUGCCUAAUACAUGCAAGUAGGACGCAGUUGCGAACGGGUGAGUAACGCGUAGGUAACUACCUAUUAGAGGGGGAUAACUAUUGGAAACGAUAGCUAAUACCGCAUACUAGUAGAUGGACCUGCGUUGUAUUUGCUUGUAGGUAGGGUAAUGGCCUACCUAGGCAACGAUACAUAGCCGACCUGAGAUGGUGAUCGGCCCAACUGGGACUGAGACACGGCCCAGACUCGUACGGGAGGCAGCCGUAGGGAAUUGUUGGCAAUGGGGGGAACCGUGACCGAGCAACGCCGCGUGAGUGAAGACGGUUUUCGGCUCGUAAAGAUCGGUUGUUAAGGAAGCGGUACUUAACGAGAAAGGGACGGCUAACUACGUGCCAGCAGCCGCGGUAAUUC